UACGGGGGGGGCAAGCGUUGUUCGGAAUUACUGGGCGUAAAGGGCUCGCAGGCGGCCGACUAAGUCAGACGUGAAAUCCCUUGGCUUAACCAAGGAAUGGCGUCUGAUACUGGACGGCUUGAAUCCGGGAGAGGGAUGUGGAAUUCCAGGUGUAGCGGUGAAAUGCGUAGAUAUCUGGAGGAACACCGGUGGCGAAGGCGGGUCUCUGGGCCGAUACUGACGCUGAGGAGCGAAAGCGUGGGGAGCGAACAGG
RNAcentral lists this ribosomal RNA (253 nucleotides) under uncultured bacterium. RNAcentral describes it as "partial 16S ribosomal RNA". It matches the Rfam family "Bacterial small subunit ribosomal RNA", at positions 524 to 776 of the family's 1533-position model. The record is from RNAcentral.